Long non-coding RNA from Bos taurus (domestic cattle), 1632 nucleotides. NCBI's taxonomy places the organism in Eukaryota, Metazoa, Chordata, Mammalia, Artiodactyla, Bovidae. The record is from Ensembl.
GGGAAAUACACCAGAGCGCUCUCUGACAGGGCAUCUGAGGUCGGAGGCUGCGGGCUCUACCCCGGGGCCGAUCCAGUUCAGGGAGGUCAGAAAGGCAGCUCGGAACGCGCCCAACCGGGACUGGAAACGUGUGAAACUCUCGGUUCAGCCCGAUUCCGCCUCGUCCAGGCAGCUUGUCUUGGGGGCACCCUAACCUCUCCGAACCUCAGUUUCCCCAUCUUGGGGUCACUGAAGCCGGAAGUUGUAGAAGCACCUAGGAAGCUACGGGGUCCUGCAUCCGGACCAGUUUCCGGCUUUGCGCUCCCCUGACUUGGCAGAAAGAAGAGCUGGACGAUGACUAGAAGGUUCCAGAAGACAUCAUGGGGAGACAUCUCAGGAAGGAAAAGUGAAUUAUCCACAGGAAUUCAGGGGCGGUGCUCCCCAUCGAAGGCUGGCAUCAGGAAAGACUCUGAGGUCAGAUCCAGACACGGGAUUGGAGGUGCUGAUAAACUCUGCUGCGGCACAGACUUUGGGGAGAAGACAGUAGACAUCUUAGCCUACACCUAAGUCUACCAGAAGUCCCACGUCCCAGCCUCGUCACACACCCACGGAUCCUGGGAAAUUCAGAGCUCAAAGGAAGCCUCCAAUGGGUUAACGUGUGGAAAAUUCCACAGAUACACUUUCUGAUGAAAGAUCACUCCUCUCUACUCCGCCCACCACCCCCCCUCACAACCAACUGCAGCUCCGCAGACAAGCCAGAGAAAAGAGAAGGGAAAUGUGAAAACAAUUCUGAAUUCAGCUGGUGUAUGUGGAAGUGCAAUAUUCCAAACACAAUUAAAACCCAAUCAGGGUCCGGAAAAGUGCUUAAAUGUCCCUGUCAAACAACAGACCACAUGUGGCGUAAGCAUCUCCCUGGGGACCCCUCCUUCAAGGGCUGUCGUGAUGGCAAUGAGGACCCCCACCCCAGCAGGACCCUCGUUAUCCCGCCCAAGCCUGAACCUCGGAGACCAGGUGUCCCUGGCCUAGGAUGGAGCCCUGGGCCAUCUCUGUUUUGUUUGUUGUUGAGUCCCCAGUCAGGGAUCGAACCGGGGUCCCUUGCGGUGAAAGUGCCAACUAUUGGACCACCAGGGAAGUCUGUGUUUCUGUUUUUAACUGUAGGUAGGGACCUCCCUGGUGGUCCAGUGGUGAAGACUUUGCCUUCCAAAGCAAAGGGCACAGGUUGGAUCCCUGGUCAGAGAGCUAGGAUCCCACAUGCCUCAGGGCCAAAAAACCAAAAGAUAAAACAGAAGCAGUGUUUUUUUUUUUUUCCAGCUUUCUUCUUUUUUUAUUUUAAAACAUGUUUUAAUUAAUUAAUUUUUUAAUUGAAGGAUAAUUACAUUGCAGAACUUUGUUGUUUUCUGAGAAGCAAUAGUGUAACAAAUUCAAGACUUUAAAAAUGGUCCAAAUUAAAAAAAAAACUUAAAAAACAACAAAAACGCAGUAGGCAAACACAUAUACGCACACACACACGUGGUUUUCGAAGAGCAGAGGUUGGCUGAAUUUCCACGCGCUUUCACUUAUUUUCAGGAAACAGUAGAAGUGGUUCACUUGUUCAAUCAACAAACACUUCCUUUGGGGCUGCUUCUGUGAGUCCAGCACUGGGCUACAUCAGGG